GAUGAACGCUGGCGGCGUGCCUAAUACAUGCAAGUCGAGCGAACAGACGAGGAGCUUGCUCCUCUGACGUUAGCGGCGGACGGGUGAGUAACACGUGGAUAACCUACCUAUAAGACUGGGAUAACUUCGGGAAACCGGAGCUAAUACCGGAUAAUAUAUUGAACCGCAUGGUUCAAUAGUGAAAGACGGUUUUGCUGUCACUUAUAGAUGGAUCCGCGCCGCAUUAGCUAGUUGGUAAGGUAACGGCUUACCAAGGCAACGAUGCGUAGCCGACCUGAGAGGGUGAUCGGCCAAACUUGAACUGAGACACGGUCCAGACUCCUACGGGAGGCAGCAGUAGGGAAUCUUCCGCAAUGGGCGAAAGCCUGACGGAGCAACGCCGCGUGAGUGAUGAAGGUCUUCGGAUCGUAAAACUCUGUUAUUAGGGAAGAACAAAUGUGUAAGUAACUAUGCACGUCUUGACGGUACCUAAUCAGAAAGCCACGGCUAACUACGUG
Molecule: ribosomal RNA, 497 nt
Filed under: uncultured bacterium
Lineage: Bacteria
Description: partial 16S ribosomal RNA
Rfam family: Bacterial small subunit ribosomal RNA
Source: RNAcentral